RNAcentral lists this long non-coding RNA (921 nucleotides) under Mus musculus (house mouse). RNAcentral describes it as "long non-coding RNA chr19:10906267-10907188". The record is from RNAcentral. Lineage: Eukaryota; Metazoa; Chordata; Mammalia; Rodentia; Muridae.
GAGGGUUGGUGAGUUCACAGAGAAACUCUUGGGAAGGAAGACCUGAGAAGUGAGCUAUCGCCUAAAAGGCUAUGGGGAAGCUAGGGGGUCCUGAUAACACAACAGAACAACUGGGUAUGUUCUGUCAGGCUGUCCUGUGGGCAAGGAGAUUGGAAUUUACCCUAUCUGUGAUUACUAUGUAGCCCACUGCUCCCUAGAAGUGUAUCCGGUAAACCUACAGGGGCUGGGGAGACAGCUCCGUUAGUAAAGUGCUUUCUAGGUCACCAUGAGCUGAAUUUAAUCCCCAGCACCUAAUGUAGAAAAGCCAAGCAUGGUGAGCCCUUCCUCUCAGUGCUGGGGAGGCAGAGACACAAGGAGCCCAGGAGUUCACACACAAAUUGAACUGACCUAACUAGUGGGCCCUAGACUAAAACCCUGUUUCAAAACAACUCCUAAGGAUGAUAUCCAAAGUAAUCAAGCCUCUGCCCUCUACAUGCAUAUGUACGUAUCUGUAUUCCCCGUACGAAUACACAGGAUUACAAAGGGCCAAGAGAUGACUGAGUGAUCAUGUUCACUGUGAUGGAGCUUGCUCUAGACUGUUGUAAGCAGCAGUGAGCAUGCCAGGGUCGGUGGGCAUCCUGGGCCAUGACGCUCAGUGGGUUGCUGAGUUGUGGUAGGUGACCAUAGAAGCUGGAGCGGUGAGGCAGUCAGUGCUGGAGUGCGUUCUCACAAGUUCCUCACACUGACAUCCAUUCUGGACUGAAGAAGCUGUGGCUUCUCGUGGGAUUGCUCUAGUUGAACAUGCCCUCAAGCAGUUUUAUUUCCUUUUUCUUUGAAGGCUGGGUUUCUCUUUAUAGCCCUGGCUGUCCUAGAACUCACUCUGUCUCCUGAGUGCUGGGAUUAAAGGCAUGUGCCACCAUUGCCCAGUGAAGUGUGGUCUUU